CGUAACAAGGUUUCCGUAGGUGAACCUGCGGAAGGAUCAUUAAAGUAUUCUUCGGUGCAGCCAGCGCUUCCACAGCGCGGCAGCCCAAACCUUACACACUGUGAUUAGUUUUUUUACUAUUUGCUUUGGCUGCGCAAGUGGCCAAAGGUCUUAAACACAAAGAUUUAUAUCUUUUUUACAAAAUUCAGUCAAUGAAGUUUUAAUACUAUAAUCUUCAAAACUUUCAACAACGGAUCUCUUGGUUCUCGCAACGAUGAAGAACGCAGCGAAAUGCGAUACGUAAUGUGAAUUGCAGGUUUUCGUGAAUCAUCGAAUCUUUGAACGCACAUUGCACCCUCUGGUAUUCCGGAGGGUAUGCCUGUUUGAGCGUCAUUUCUCUCUCAAACCCUUGGGUUUGGUAUUGAGUGAUACUCUCUUCUGGGUUAACUUGAAAUAGUGUACUGGCAAGAGUGUGCUUUUGUGGCCCUUGACUGAGAUAAUGUAUUAGGUUCUACCAACUCGUUAUAGCAGUUCAAUUGUCCCUUUGGCAUAUCCAGCUCGGCCUGACAACCUUCUAAAGUUUGACCUCAAAU
Molecule: ribosomal RNA, 572 nt
Filed under: Williopsis saturnus
Lineage: Eukaryota; Fungi; Ascomycota; Saccharomycetes; Phaffomycetales; Wickerhamomycetaceae
Description: eukaryotic LSU rRNA
Rfam family: 5.8S ribosomal RNA (bases 219-372)
Source: RNAcentral